AGGGAUAACAUUAGGAGAAAUACCUAAUGCUGGUGACAGGGUGAUGGAUGCAGUGAACCACCAUGGCAUGUGUAUACCUGGGUAACAAUCCUGCAUGACCUGCACAUAUACCCCAGAACUUAAAGUAUGAAAAUACUAAGGGCAGCCAGAGAGAAAGGUCAGGUUACCCACAAAGGCAAGCCUAUCAGACUUACAGAAGAUCUCUCAGCAGAAACUCUACAAGCCAGAAGAGAGUGGGGGCCAAUACUCAACAUCCUCAAAGAACAGAACCUUCAGCCCAGAAUUUCAUAUCCAGCCAAACUAAGCUUCACAACUGAAGGAAAAAUAAAAUCUUUUAUGAACAAGCAAGUACUCAGAGAUUUUAUUACCACCAGGCCUGCUUUACAAGAGCUUCUGAAAGAAGCAUUACACAUAGAAAGAAACAACCAGUAUUAGCCUUUCUAAAAAUAUACCAAAAAAUAAAGAGCAUCAACAUAAAGAAGAAUUUACAUCAACGAAUGGAUAAAACAGCCAGUUAACAUCAAAUGGCAGUAAUCCUAAAUUUAAAUCGACUAAAUCCCCCAAUCAAAAGACACAGCCAAAACCCAACGGCAUGUUGCAUCCAGACCCAUUUCACAUGCAAGGAUACACAAAGACUCAAAGGAAUGGAGAAAGAUUUACCAACCCAAUGGAGAGCAAAAAUAAAUAAAUAAAUAAAAAGCAGGAGUUGCAAUUCUCAUAUCUGAUAAAAUAGAUUUUAAAGCAACAAAGAUAUAGUGGUAAAAGGAUCAAUGCAACAACAAGAGCUAAUGAUCCUAACACCCAGAUACAUAGAGACUUAAAUUCAAUGAGACAGAAAAUUAAUAAGGAUAUCCAGGACUUGAACUCAGGUCCGGAACAAGUAAACUUAAUAAAUAUUUAUAGAGCUCUCCACUUCAAAUACAUAAAGUAUACAUUCUUGUCAAUACCACAUCACACCUACUCAUAGGUUUAAGUGAAACAUUGAUUGGCCAUUAUUAAUACCCAUUUUUUUUUAGAAUAAAGCAACAUUUCUGUUCUCUCUCCCUCUUUUUCUUCCUCUUUCUUCCUCUCCUUCACUCUUUUUUUUUUCUUUCCUUCUCUCAAAAAAAGAAAAAAAAAAGAAAUCAACUUGUAGACCUCUAGAUCCAGUUUGGCAAUGUCUCUCUCAUUGCUUUAUUUCCUUCCUUCCCUUCUUUCCCUCCCUCCCUCCCUCCCUUCCUCCUUUCCUCCCUUCCUAAAAAAAAAAAAAAAAAAAGAAAAGAAAACUUGCCUUUAUUAAGUCUAUUCAAAUCAUUCAACUUUCAUACAGGCAACUCCCUUCAGUCAUUUUUUUUUUUCAUUUUGCAGUAUUUUAAAUUCUAUUAUAUAAUUAACAAAAGAAGUGAAUGUAAACAGACAUGGAGACAAAACUGGUUCUUGAAAGCAGACAACGUGGAGACAUCCCAGGGAGAAACCGUUAACCCUUAAGUUCCCAGUUUACUGGGAGAAUCAGUCAGUAUGAUAUAGAAAAGGAAUUAGUUAAUUCAGCAAGACAGUUAAAUGCAGAUUGCUCUCUAACAGCAGAUGAGGGCUCAGAAGGAGAGUCCACUUACAGUUGACAUUUAAAAAAUUGUAUUUAGUUGCAUGUACUAUAGAUAAAUUUUGCAAACCCUCCACAUAUAUUCUGCAAUAAAUUAAAUCAUAAAUUAUAUAGUUAAUUUGUAAAGGGAUGUUUAGUGGAAGACUGAUUUUUCUGCUGAUCAUUUCCCAUGAUAUUCCUGAUCCCAUGAUGGUAAACAAUAAGAUUUUUCUUUCUUGUGUGUAGAAUUUAUCCUAGAUUUUACCUAUAUACCUCAUCAAAGAUCUUUUAAAAUAUUAUCUUUAUUACCAUACUUGUUAGAAAGCUUGUUUUCUGUCAUAAAUUCUCCAGAAGUAUCUUUGCUCUGAAAAUAGACUAAAUAGGAGAAGGUGUUUUAAGCUACUGUUGGUGGAAAAAGUAACUUUCUAAUUGGGGUCCGUGCUAGAAACAGUUGUUUCCCCACUGAAUGGACAUGUUGAUGCUUUUGGUUUAACUACUGCAUUUCUCUCUGCCCCUUACCCUGCCUUCAUUUCUGCCUAUCUCCAAAGAUGCUGUUGUUUAACUGUUUCAUGUCCAGUACCAUACAGGCUUCUCUUGCUCUAUGCUUAGGCAUCAUUUACCCAUCUAGUAGCCUAAUCUCAGCUCUUUAUGGCCACCUGAGUCUACAGUGGAGCAGGCUGAAGAGAGAGUUGGUAAGCUUCUUGAUAUUUUGCCUGUGUAUGUUCACCAUCAGGUUUGUAGAGGCAAAAAUUCUGCAGGCCAACCCCUGGCUAUAGAGCAGGGAGCAGGACUUCAGUGAGUGCUCAUUGAUUUCUCCAGCUGUCAGAAAAUUUGCACCCAGGAGUGAGCAGGUGCCUUCGCUGCCUUUGGCAACAAAUUGGGGACUUGACUCCCUUCCCUUCUCUUCCCUUUUCCCUUCCCCCUCCCUCCCCUUCCCAUUUCCCUUCCUUCUCCCUUUCCUCUUCCCUUUCCCUUCCCUCUUCCCUUUCCCUUUCCCUCUCCCUUCGCUUUUCCCUUCCCUUUUCCUUUCCCUUUCCUUUUACCUCUCCCUUCACCUCUCCCUUCCCUCCCCUUCCCUUUCCCUCCCCUUCCCUUUCCUUCCCCUUUCCUCCCCUUUUCUCCCCUCUCCUCUCCUUAGAAGGAGCUUUGCUCUGUUGCCCAGGCUGGAAUACAGUGGCAUGACCUAGGCUCACUGCAACCUCUGCCUCCCAAGUUCAAGUGGGUGCCUCCCUAGUAGCUGGGAUUACAGGAACAUGCUAGCAUGGCUUGCUAAUUUUUGUAUUUUUAGUAGAGACAAGGUUUCACCAUGUUGGCCAGGCUGGUCUUGAACUCCUGACCUCAAGUGAUCCUCUUGUCUCAGCCUCCCAAAGUGCUGGGAUUACAGGUAUGAGCCACCACACCCAGCUAGGACCUUGCAUUUCUAAGCAGUCAGAGGAUGCAGUCUCUAAAAGGGAGUUGAUGUUAUUUUCAGGCUGGGUGAUCAAGGUAAAUAACCCAUUUUCUUUUGUUUCAUUGUGUUAUUGUUUUCUCCAGAACUAACUGUUCACUCAUUAGGAACUGUUAGAGGUGGCUUCACAGUAUUGAUUACUAUUUGUGAUCCAUUUGUGGCACAUUCUUGAAUCUUUCUUUUUUUAUUAUUGCAUUUUAGGUUUUGGGGUACAUAUGCAGAACAUGCAAGAUAGUUGCAUAGGUACACAUGUGGCAGUGUGAUUUGCUGUCUUCCUCCCCUUCACUCACAUCUGGCAUUUCUCCCCAUGCUAUCCCUCCUCAGUUCCCCCCCUGCACUGUCCCUCCCCUAUUCCCUGCAAUAGACCCCAGUGUAUAGUGCUCCCCUCCCUGUGUCCAUGUGUUCUCAUUGUUCAUCACCUGCCUAUGAGUGAGAAUAUGCGGUAUUUCAUUUUCUGUUCUUGUGUCAGUUUGCUGAGAAUGAUGUUCUCCAGAUUCACCCAUGUCCCUACAAAGGACACAAACUCAUCGUUUUUGAUUGCUGCAUAAUAUUCCAUGGUGUGUAUGUGCCACAUUUUCCCAGUCCAGUCUAUCAUCGAUGGGCAUUUGGGUUGGUUCCAGGUCUUUGCUAUUGUAAACAGUGCUGCAAUGAACAUUUGUGUGCAUGUGUCCUUAUAGUAGAACGAUUUAUAGUCCUUUGAAUCUUACUUUCAAAGUACGGAAGGGAGAAGGUUUAACUUGCCUGAAACCAUUUGAACUGAUACUACUGUUCUAUUAUAAAUGCAACUUGUAAUUUAUUCCUUACUGUCUUAGCUCUGAAAUGUGCCUAUAAAGCUGCAUAAUGUAAACUGAUUUUAAAAACCAUAGCAUCAACUACUCUGCUGGGGUCAAUUUUUAAUAUCCUGAAAAGGCUUAGGAAUCCAAACCCAGUUUAAAACUUAGCCCAGUUUAUUUGUAAGUGGAAACAGAAAUGUCAGUCUGAGAGUAUAUUGUGACAAAUCUCUGGGAAACGUGUCCUCCGUUGAUUUGUGUCAUCAUCCCUGGAAAGAGCACAUGAGGAAAUAAGUCUUCCCAAUCCAAAUUUCCUUUUGAUAAAACCUUGGCAAACGCUUUUCUAAUCCUAGGUUUCAAGUCUUUAAGAAUAAUUUUGGUGGAUGAUGCAUGCUUUGAGGAUAUGAUAUUUUAAAUAUCAUCAUAUUGCUUCCAGACAUCUGAGGGUUUUAGGAUGCAUAUUAGUAUAUAUCAUUUCUCCUCUCCCUCCCUACACAUGUGUGAAUGUAUAUGUGUUUGUGUUUUCUGUCAUAUGAAAUCAGCCAGAAAACCAGACCUUGAGCAAGUCAGUUAACCUUUACAGGCCUGUCUUCUCAUAGUAUAAUGUAAAGGAAUUUACUGUAUUUAAAUUUUAGCCCUUCACAGUUGUAAAAUUAUUUUAUUUUACUGGAAAAGAAUUUGGAGUCCACAUGCUUAUUUGUGUCCUUCAUAUGUAGAUAACAUAGACUAUGUUUUAUCUCUGAGAGCCUAAAAUAAUAUGAUUCACAUAUGUAGAACUAAUUUUUUUUUUUUUUUUGAGACGGAGUUUCACGCUUGUUACCCAGGCUGGAGUGCAAUGGCGCGAUCUCGGCUCACAGCAACCUCCGCCUCCUGGGUUCAGGCAAUUCUCCUGCCUCAGCCUCCUGAGUAGCUGGGAUUACAGGCACGCACCACCAUGCCCAGCUAAUUUUUUGUAUAUUUUUUAGUAGAGACGGGGUUUCACCAUGUUGACCAGGAUGGUCUCGAUCUCUUGACCUUGUGAUCCACCUGCCUCGGCCUCCCAAAGUGCUGGGUAGAACUAAUUUUUUAACUUUUAUACUUUAAUAUGUAAACUAGAGGGAGGGAUUUUUAAAAGCAAAAUCUUUGACUAAAUAUUGCUUCUACACCUAAACUCAGUCUUCAUCAUCGCCCUACCACUACCAACUUCAGUGUUUAGAAACCAUGAACAAGAGGUUAUAUUAACAGAUUAGUGUUACAUGGAGCUCUUGUAGUGUCAAGAGGUAGUGGGGAGAAAUUCUCAGCCUGAGUCUCUAAGGCUGUUACUGACUGAUUAGCAUAAGAAGUGGUCUUGGGCCAGGCAUGGUGACUCAUGCCUAUAAUCCCAGCACUUUGAGAGGCCUAGGUGAGUGGAUCACUUGAGGUCAGAAGUUCAAGACCAACCUGGCCAACAGUGAAACCUCAUCUCUACUACAAAUACAAAAAUUAGCCAGGUGUGGUGGUGGGUGCCUGUAAUCCCAGGUACUUUGGAGACUGAGGUAGAAGAACUGCUUGAAGCUGGGAGGCAGAGGUUGCAGUGAGCUGAGAUUGUGCCAUUGCCCUCCAGCCUGAGCAUUGCAGCGAGACAUAGACAGACAGACAGACAGGCAGACAGAGAGACAGACAGAUAGAUAGAUCACACUCAAGACCACUUCCAUCUAACAGGACAACCUGACUGGUUUCCUGGUUUCCAUAUACUUUCAGGAUAGUGUCCUUCCAGCUUAAUUUAAACUUUAUACAUAUCAGAGCACCAGUUGCUGCAAAAAGAAAAAGACAAGAACAAAUAAUCAAUAGACUCUUAAAAAAAACUUAAUACUUCAUAUAUCUCUACUUCCUAGAGCCACUAAAGGCUGUCUUUUAGAGUUAAUUCUUUAUUGCUGCCUUGCAAAGACGAGGACCAUAGCUAGUCUUUGCCUGCUUUCUUGAUUCUCACACACCAUUAAGAUUGAAGCUAAUUUGUCACAUUGACACUGAGGAAUGUUAUUAUUCAAAGCCGAGUUAAAAAGGGAUUUAUAGAGAACAAAACCAAUAAGCCAAGCAGCUCUGACAUUUAAUUUUCUUGGAAACCUUUCCCAUCAAACCAGGCGAGUCUGCACACUACACAUUUGCAAAAUGAAAAGUGGUGUUGUAGUAGGAUAAUCUCCUCAUAUAAACGAUGAAUGAAUAAUUUGAAAGAGACUUGAUAUUAUAGAGGGCCCUUUCUCCUCUUGUCCUCUCCCAUCCUACCCUGAAAUGACAUUUAUGGAUGGAUUCCAGCUUUUAGAGGUGAUAUGUUAAGUUUUAUUUUGUUCCAUAUUUUCCAUAAGAAUUGAGAGUUUGGGGAAGUGAAUACAGAUGAUUUUUAUUUAUGUUUUUGGCCACCAGUUCCAGGUUUAUCCUAUUAAGAAUAUUGCUUCCUUGGUCCAUCAGCCCAAAGGGUCAAUAAACACUGUCCGUCUACCAAGAGUUCCUUUAAAAUCCUAAUAUGAACUAAUUAGGAUUAGUUUAGGACACUGUUGGCUUCCUAAGGUACAUUAAGCUCACAGAAGGAAUCAUAUUUGAGGAUCCAUUUAGCUUCCUGUUUUAGUCAGGCUGGAUAAUGCUAGUUGCUUUAAUAAAGAGCCAAAAUUGGCCCACCUUUAAAUUCUCGCGAGAGCGGUGUCUGCGUGUCGGGACAUGCGGAGAGUCUCACUUUCCGUCAUGGCACUGAAGGUAGCAACAGCCUCUGGCGGCGCUAUGAAGGCAGUGCUCCGGCCAGCCCUUCUGUGAAGUGCCUGGGAGGUUCUAGGUGCCCAUGAGGCCCCCCUCGAAGAGCAUCUCCUCACAACAAAUGAUUCCUCCAUCAGCUAAGUAUGGCGGGCGGCACACAUCGACCGUGAUCCCUGGUGAUGGCAUCGGGCCAAAGCUCAUGCUGCAUGUGAAGUCUGUUUUCAGGCACGCCUGUGUCGGGUGGACUUUGAAGAGGUGCACGUGAGUUCCAACCUUGAUGAAGAAGACAUUAGCAAAGCCAUCAUGGCCAUCCGCCGGAACCAUGUGGCCCCGAAGGGCAAUAUCAACACCAACCGUAAUCUGCCACCAUCCCACAAAUCCCGAAACAACAUCUUCCGCACCAGCCCGGACCUCUAUGCCAACGUCAUCCACUAUAAGAGCCUGCCAGGUGUGGUGACCCGACACAAGGACAUAGACAUCCUCAUUGUCCGGGAGAACACGGAGGGUGAGUACAGCAGCCUGGAGCAUGAGAGUGUGGCGGGAGUGGUGGAGAGCCUGAAGAUCAUCACCAAGGCCAAGUCCCUACGCGUUGCCAUAUGCUUUCAAGCUGGCGCUGAAGAGCGGGCGCAAGAAAGUGACGGCCAUGUACAAGGCCAACAUCAUGAAACUGGGCAACAGGCUCUUCCUCCAAUGCUGCAGGGAGGUAGCAGCUGGUUACCCCCAGAUCACUUUCAAGAACACGAUUGUGGACAACACCACCAUGCAGCUGGUGUCCUGGCCCCAGCAAUUUGAUGUCGUGGUGAUGCCCAAUCUCUAUGGCAACCUGGUCAGCAAUGUCUGCUCAGGACUGGUCGGAGGCCCAGGCCUUGUGGCUGGGGCCAACUAUGGCCAUGUGUACACGGUGUUUGAAACAGCUACGAGGAACACUGGCAAGAGUAUCGCCAAUAAGAACAUCGCCAACCCCACAGCCAUCCUGCUGGCCAGCUGCAUGAUGCUGGAUCACCUCAAGCUGCACUUCUACGCCACCUCCAUCCGUAAGGCUGUCCUGGUGUCCAUGGACAAUGAGAAUAUGCACACUCCAGACAUUGGGGGCCAGGGCAUAACAUCUGAGGCCAUCCAGGACAUCAUCAGCCACAUCCGUGUCAUCAAUGGCCAGGCUGUGGAGGCCUAGGCUUGCCCUGGAACCUUCUUGGUUUGCUCCUCAGAUCCCCCUUCUCACUCCCGCACCCCAGCCAGCCUGAUAAGCAGAGCCCAGAAUAAAGCAGCUUCUCCC
Non-coding RNA from Callithrix jacchus (white-tufted-ear marmoset), 7751 nucleotides. The record is from RefSeq and is a predicted model, not a curated record. Lineage: Eukaryota; Metazoa; Chordata; Mammalia; Primates; Cebidae.